UACGUAGGUGGCGAGCGAUGUCCGGAUUCAUUGGGUUUAAAGGGUGCGUAGGCGGCCAAUUAAGUCAGUGCUGAAAUACCCCGGCUUAACCGGGGGAGUGGCAUUGAUACUGGUUGGCUUGAGUGCUGUCGAGGCAGGCAGCAUUGACGGUGUAGCGGUGAAAUGCUUAGAUAGCGUCAGGAACACCGAUAGUGAAGACAGCUUGCCAGAGAGUAACUGUCGAUGAUGCACCAAAGUGUGGGGGGCAAACAGG
RNAcentral lists this ribosomal RNA (253 nucleotides) under uncultured bacterium. RNAcentral's name for it is "partial 16S ribosomal RNA". It matches the Rfam family "Bacterial small subunit ribosomal RNA", at positions 524 to 776 of the family's 1533-position model. The record is from RNAcentral.